UGGGGAAUUUUGGACAAUGGGCGAAAGCCUGAUCCAGCAAUGCCGCGUGUGUGAAGAAGGCCUUCGGGUUGUAAAGCACUUUUGUCCGGAAAGAAAUCCUUGGCUCUAAUACAGUCGGGGGAUGACGGUACCGGAAGAAUAAGCACCGGCUAACUACGUGCCAGCAGCCGCGGUAAUACGUAGGGUGCAAGCGUUAAUCGGAAUUACUGGGCGUAAAGCGUGCGCAGGCGGUUUGCUAAGACCGAUGUGAAAUCCCCGGGCUCAACCUGGGAACUGCAUUGGUGACUGGCAGGCUAGAGUAUGGCAGAGGGGGGUAGAAUUCCACGUGUAGCAGUGAAAUGCGUAGAGAUGUGGAGGAAUACCGAUGGCGAAGGCAGCCCCCUGGGCCAAUACUGACGCUCAUGCACGAAAGCGUGGGGGAGCAAACAGGAUUAGAUACCCUGGUAGUCCACGCCCUAAACGAUGUCAACUAGUUGUUGGGGAUUCAUUUCCUUAGUAACGUAGCUAACGCGUGAAGUUGACCGCCUGGGGGAGUACGGUCGCAAGAUUAAAACUUAAAUGAAUUGACGGGGUCAUAGCUGUUUCCU
RNAcentral lists this ribosomal RNA (587 nucleotides) under uncultured bacterium. RNAcentral's name for it is "partial 16S ribosomal RNA". It matches the Rfam family "Bacterial small subunit ribosomal RNA", at positions 355 to 1375 of the family's 1533-position model. The record is from RNAcentral.